RNAcentral lists this unclassified non-coding RNA (74 nucleotides) under Pseudomonas granadensis. Lineage: Bacteria; Pseudomonadati; Pseudomonadota; Gammaproteobacteria; Pseudomonadales; Pseudomonadaceae. The record is from RNAcentral.
UGAGCCUGCUCGCGAUAGCGGUGUGUCAUUCGACACCUGAAUCAACUGACACACCGCUAUCGCGAGCAGGCUCA